GAUUUCUGGCGAACCGGCUCAACCCGAUACUGUAUGGUAUUGAGUGCUGAGUCGUGUUGGUCAUCCUUCCGGAAAGCUGCGUCUACCAUUCAGUUGGCCGGACGUACGUGAUCCGGAUCUAUUACUUUGAAAAAAUUAGAGUGUUUAAAGCAGGCUUACGCUAUGAAUACAUUAGCAUGGAAUAAUAAUAUAGGACUUUGAUUCUAUUUUGUUGGUUUCUAGGAUGAAGUAAUGAUUGAUAGGGAUAGUUGGGGGUGCUAGUAUUCCGCGGCCAGAGGUGAAAUUCUUGGAUUCGCGGAAGACUAACUACUGCGAAAGCAUU
RNAcentral lists this ribosomal RNA (322 nucleotides) under uncultured Assulina. RNAcentral's name for it is "SSU rRNA". The stretch from base 107 to 322 matches the Rfam family "Eukaryotic small subunit ribosomal RNA", at positions 737 to 955 of the family's 1831-position model. Lineage: Eukaryota; Cercozoa; Imbricatea; Euglyphida; Euglyphidae. The record is from RNAcentral.